AGGAUGAACGCUGGCGGCGUGCCUAACACAUGCAAGUCGAACGUCCUGUCUCGCAAGAGGCAGGGAGUGGCGGACGGGUGAGUACCACGUGGGUUAUCUACCGUGAGGUGAGGAAUACCGGCGAGAAAUCGCCGACAAGACCGCAUAGCCUCGGUGCAAGCCGAGGAAAGCUUUCUCGAGAGAGGGAGCGCCACACGAGGAGCCUGCGCCCGAUUAGCUAGCUGGUGGAGUAACGGUUCACCAGGGCGACGAUCGGUAGCUGGUCUGAGAGGACGAUCAGCCACACUGGGAUUGAGAACGGCCCAGACUCCUACGGGGGGCAGCAGUGAGGAAUUUUCGUCAAUGGGGGCAACCCUGAACGAGCAACGCCGCGUGCAGGAAGAAGGUUUUCGGAUCGUAAACUGCUUUUCGUCGGGGAAGAGAACGGACGGUACCCGAGGAAUCGAGCCCCGGCUAACUACGCGCCAGCAGCCGCGGUAA
Molecule: ribosomal RNA, 480 nt
Filed under: uncultured bacterium
Lineage: Bacteria
Description: SSU rRNA
Rfam family: Bacterial small subunit ribosomal RNA
Source: RNAcentral